Molecule: long non-coding RNA, 624 nt
Filed under: Theropithecus gelada (gelada)
Lineage: Eukaryota; Metazoa; Chordata; Mammalia; Primates; Cercopithecidae
Description: lncRNA (ENSTGEG00000023163.1)
Source: RNAcentral
AAGGAGACAGCCACGUGGGGACACGCCGGGCUAGCAGGCCUUUGCCAAGUGUCACUGCUCCGCAUAAGGGAAAAUCAGAGGAACAAGCAAGUGCAUCCAUCCUGCCUCUCUCCCCAGUGAACUGAUAAACCCAUCAGUCUUGUCCGUGGUGCACCUGUUACAUCCCCGGGCGAUGUUGGAGACUGUGGGGAACAGCGGCCACCGCCAAAUACUCAGCGACUGCCCUGUGCCUGGGCCCUGCAGGGAAGCGCGGGAAAGUGGCACAGGGCUGGACCCAGAGGAGCUCUCACAUGCUGAACUGGACUGUCAGGGGUCAUCUAGUCCAUUCCCCGCCUCCAGGUGAGGAUUUGCCUGAGCCUGAAGGAUUCUCCCAGCACUGUCAAGCCCCAGAUUCCAACUCCCUGUGGGUGGACUGUCAGCACAGGCCCUGACAACACAGAGAAAGACACAGGACCCAGCUGGGCCAGUGACAGCAGUAGCUCCUGGUGCCACAGGUGAGGGUGGGGAUGCCUGGAGCACCAUGGGGGUCCUUGUUUAGUCUACAGCAGGGUCUUGAAAUAGGUUAUAAGUGUUACAUCUUGACACAGUGUACACAUGCUGACACACAUAUUAAAACAACUUUUA